Molecule: ribosomal RNA, 1167 nt
Filed under: uncultured Bacteroides sp.
Lineage: Bacteria; Pseudomonadati; Bacteroidota; Bacteroidia; Bacteroidales; Bacteroidaceae
Description: bacterial SSU rRNA
Rfam family: Bacterial small subunit ribosomal RNA
Source: RNAcentral
AGUUUGAUCCUGGCUCAGGAUGAACGCUAGCUACAGGCUUAACACAUGCAGGUCGAGGGGCAGCAUGACCUAGCAAUAGGUUGAUGGCGACCGGCGCACGGGUGAGUAACACGUAUCCAACCUACCGGUUAUUCCGGGAUAGCCUUUCGAAAGAAAGAUUAAUACCGGAUAGUAUAACGAGAAGGCAUCUUCUUGUUAUUAAAGAAUUUCGAUAACCGAUGGGGAUGCGUUCCAUUAGUUUGUUGGCGGGGUAACGGCCCACCAAGACAUCGAUGGAUAGGGGUUCUGAGAGGAAGGUCCCCCACAUUGGAACUGAGACACGGUCCAAACUCCUACGGGAGGCAGCAGUGAGGAAUAUUGGUCAAUGGACGAGAGUCUGAACCAGCCAAGUAGCGUGAAGGAUGACUGCCCUAUGGGUUGUAAACUUCUUUUAUAUGGGAAUAAAGUGAGCCACGUGUGGCUUUUUGUAUGUACCAUACGAAUAAGGAUCGGCUAACUCCGUGCCAGCAGCCGCGGUAAUACGGAGGAUCCGAGCGUUAUCCGGAUUUAUUGGGUUUAAAGGGAGCGUAGGCGGACUAUUAAGUCAGCUGUGAAAGUUUGCGGCUCAACCGUAAAAUUGCAGUUGAUACUGGUCGUCUUGAGUGCAGUAGAGGUAGGCGGAAUUCGUGGUGUAGCGGUGAAAUGCUUAGAUAUCACGAAGAACUCCGAUUGCGAAGGCAGCUUACUGGACUGUAACUGACGCUGAUGCUCGAAAGUGUGGGUAUCAAACAGGAUUAGAUACCCUGGUAGUCCACACAGUAAACGAUGAAUACUCGCCGUUUGCGAUAUACAGCAAGCGGCCAAGCGAAAGCAUUAAGUAUUCCACCUGGGGAGUACGCCGGCAACGGUGAAACUCAAAGGAAUUGACGGGGGCCCGCACAAGCGGAGGAACAUGUGGUUUAAUUCGAUGAUACGCGAGGAACCUUACCCGGGCUUAAAUUGCAUCUGAAUAAUUUGGAAACAGAUUAGCCGUAAGGCAGAUGUGAAGGUGCUGCAUGGUUGUCGUCAGCUCGUGCCGUGAGGUGUCGGCUUAAGUGCCAUAACGAGCGCAACCCUUAUCUUUAGUUACUAACAGGUCAUGCUGAGGACUCUAGAGAGACUGCCGUCGUAAGAUGUGAGGAAGGUGGA